Molecule: ribosomal RNA, 253 nt
Filed under: uncultured bacterium
Lineage: Bacteria
Description: partial 16S ribosomal RNA
Rfam family: Bacterial small subunit ribosomal RNA
Source: RNAcentral
GACGAACCGUGCAAACGUUGUUCGGAAUCACUGGGCUUAAAGGGCGCGUAGGCGGCUUCCCAAGUCCGGGGUGAAAUCUUUCGGCUUAACCGGAAAAGUGCCUUGGAUACUGGGAGGCUCGAGGGGGGUAGGGGCAAGCGGAACUUCCGGUGGAGCGGUGAAAUGCGUUGAUAUCGGAAGGAACGCCGGCGGUGAAAGCGGCUUGCUGGACCCCAUCUGACGCUGAUGCGCGAAAGCCAGGGGAGCGAACGGG